RNAcentral lists this ribosomal RNA (252 nucleotides) under uncultured bacterium. RNAcentral describes it as "partial 16S ribosomal RNA". It matches the Rfam family "Bacterial small subunit ribosomal RNA", at positions 15 to 257 of the family's 1533-position model. The record is from RNAcentral.
GAUCCUGGCUCAGGGUGAACGCUAGCUAUAGGCUUAACACAUGCAAGUCGAGGGGCAUCAGUUUGGUUUGCUUGCAAACCAAAGCUGGCGACCGGCGCACGGGUGAGUAACACGUAUCCAACCUGCCUCAUACUCGGGGAUAGCCUUUCGAAAGAAAGAUUAAUAUCCGAUAGCAUAUAUUUCCCGCAUGGGUUUUAUAUUAAAGAAAUUCGGUAUGAGAUGGGGAUGCGUUCCAUUAGUUUGUUGGGGGGG